This 875-nucleotide long non-coding RNA is filed under the name Pan troglodytes (chimpanzee). RNAcentral describes it as "lincRNA". Lineage: Eukaryota; Metazoa; Chordata; Mammalia; Primates; Hominidae. The record is from RNAcentral.
UAUGUGAGGACACCAAGAGGUGACCAUGAGCAAGCCCAGGAGAGAGGCCUCAGAAGAAACCAGACCUGCUGAUUCCUUGAUCUUGAACUUCUAGCCUCCGGAACUAUCCAACUUGAAUGCUUCCUGAUUAAAUAUAUACAGGAGUGAUUUCAGAGGAAUUUAAGUUUUGGAUCAUUCUUUUGAGAAAGAAAGAAAAGUACCCUUUUAAAAGAGGUGGCUCUUGAACAACACAGGUUUGAACUGCAUCAUUCCACUUAUACACAGACUUUCUUCUGCCACUGCCACUCCUGAGACAACAUGACCAAUCUCUCCCCUUCCUCCUCCUCAGCGUACUUUCAACAUAAAGACGACGAGGAUAAAGGCAUUUAUGAUGAACUACUUCCACAUAAUGAAUAAUUGAACAAAGGAGAGAAUUGUGAGAGUGAGAAAAAGUGAGACAAAGAAGAAAAACUAUAAAUCAGCAAAAUACAGUGCCAAGAGCUCUGGACCACAAAUCAGAAGACCUGAGCCCUAAUUCCUUUCCAGUCAUUGGAUUUGUUCGUCGCUUGCCAAAACAGCAGCGAACUCUCUGUCAAACUGCAACUCAUUUUAUCGGAGCAAAAACUGAACAAAGAACUGCUAUCAUUUCUGAGGUCAGAGGCAGUGCAGCUUGUGUUACAACUCAAAAGAGUAAUACUCUGAAAAAAGAAAAAAAAAGAUGGCGCUGAAAAUAAACAUGUUCAGCAGCCAUUGUGAUUCAACUUACCCAGAUGUGCUUUUCAUGAGAUGGAGAAGGACGGAUGGAAAAGAAAAGCACACAAAUGUUAAUGGAUACAGUUCAAUCCAAAGAAAACCAUGGAAUAAAACAAGAGCAUUAUUUAAGAUGUGAGAAAGCU